AAGCGUUGUCCGGAUUUAUUGGGUUUAAAGGGUGCGUAGGCGGUUUUAUAAGUCUGUGUUGAAAUAUGUCGGCUCAACCGACAGACUGGCAUGGAUACUGUAAGACUUGAGUACAGUGUAGGCAGGCGGAAUUGACGGUGUAGCGGUGAAAUGCAUAGAUAUCGUCAAGAACACCGAUAGCGAAGGCAGCCUGCUGGGCAGAUACCGACGCUGAGGCACGAAAGUGUGGGGAUC
Molecule: ribosomal RNA, 234 nt
Filed under: uncultured bacterium
Lineage: Bacteria
Description: partial 16S ribosomal RNA
Rfam family: Bacterial small subunit ribosomal RNA
Source: RNAcentral